AGAGUUUGAUCAUGGCUCAGGAUGAACGCUGGCGGCGUGCUUAACACAUGCAAGUCGAACGAACCUUCGGGUUAGUGGCGGACGGGUGAGUAACGCGUGGGAAUCUGCCCUCAGGAGGGGGAUAACGGCUGGAAACGGCCGCUAAUACCCCAUAUGCCGAGAGGUGAAAUGAAUUUCGCCUGAGGAUGAGCCCGCGUCUGAUUAGCUAGUUGGUGGGGUAAGAGCCUACCAAGGCGACGAUCAGUAGCUGGUCUGAGAGGAUGAUCAGCCACACUGGGACUGAGACACGGCCCAGACUCCUACGGGAGGCAGCAGUGGGGAAUUUUCCGCAAUGGGCGAAAGCCUGACGGAGCAACGCCGCGUGAGGGACGAAGGCCUCUGGGCUGUAAACCUCUUUUCUCAAGGAAGAAGAUCUGACGGUACUUGAGGAAUAAGCCACGGCUAAUUCCGUGCCAGCAGCCGCGGUAAUACGGGAGUGGCAAGCGUUAUCCGGAAUUAUUGGGCGUAAAGCGUCCGCAGGCGGCUUUGUAAGUCUGCUGUC
Molecule: ribosomal RNA, 541 nt
Filed under: uncultured bacterium
Lineage: Bacteria
Description: bacterial SSU rRNA
Rfam family: Bacterial small subunit ribosomal RNA
Source: RNAcentral